GUAACAACUGAGUUUAACAUCCAGGCAUCCAUGAAAAUGGAAUUUAUGACAUUUAACAUUUAGAAGUUAGCAGGAAGUUAGCUCGCUAGCUUCCAUCUAAAUACAAUAUAGCAUAUCCCGACUGAGGGAUUUUGGAAAUAAUUCAAACGUACAGCUCUGCUAUCACUUCCGACAUAAAUGAAGCCAGAAAACUAAACAGCAGUGACGUUUGUAGGGUAUAUAACUGGUAUAUAGCUGGUAUAUGACGAUGUGCUACGUGAUCACUAGCGACACAGCUAUGUGAGCAUAAUACAAACACACUAACUUUUUUUCACUCGAUAAAAGUUAACGUGAGGAUUCUCGGUGGUCAGGAACAAAUGUAAUCACAUGGCAGGAUGCUGUAAACGGACCAAACUUCAGCCAGGAGAACAACUGAGAUAAUCCAUCCACAAUACGAGCCUUCUAUUUGGGAGAUUUCCCCCGACAUUUCUUGGUCCUUCGAAGCCGGAUGAGACAGCCUAUUUAAAGCAGCUCUCACAGAAGGCGCCUCACCAGGUCCCGUCGGUGCGAGAAGCCCAUGUUGAAGUCUGCCGGCAGCUCACGCACUAGGUGUGUGGUAAAACCCAAGAGCGUGAAUUCGGGUCUUGGUCAACGUUUUACAAGUGGUCCGCACCGUUGGGGGCUGAUCAGGUGCAUCUGAAGAAACCAGCGCCAAGUAUCUUGCAGGUUGAAGCCAGGUGAUUGGGUCCUGAUUCGAGUUCUCCAGAGAAAGAAUUGGAGCUCGCCCCGCUGGGAAGGCCCAUACCAAGUGCUUAUCGCCACACCAACUGCCUGUAAGAUAGCAGAGAGACCAUCUUGGAUUCACCAAAGCCACUGCAAGAAAGUGAGUGACGGCCUAGACUCAGACUCCAGCACCCCUACCUUCUGGUGAUCUACCUGGUGAAGGGAGGGCUGAUUGGGUAUAUCCCGCCCUCUACUUCUCGCCAGUAGUCUACUCACCCAAGGAUCUAGGUGUGUUUGGCUGUCAUGAAGACACUCGCCGUCCUAGCAGCUGUCCUCCUGCUCCUAGCAGGACUCCUCGCACUUUUCGAGGACAAUAAAGAACAGAACACAAGCCAAACGUGCCGCCAGCUUCGCGGGCAUUGGCUAUCAACAUAAGAAAAUCAUCAUUGAUGAGACAAGCUCUAUCAUCUAUUCGCUUAACCUUCUUAGUAUCUUUCAGGGACCACCCCGA
Molecule: long non-coding RNA, 1213 nt
Organism: Oreochromis aureus
Lineage: Eukaryota; Metazoa; Chordata; Actinopteri; Cichliformes; Cichlidae
Source: Ensembl